This 468-nucleotide ribosomal RNA is filed under the name uncultured bacterium. RNAcentral describes it as "partial 16S ribosomal RNA". It matches the Rfam family "Bacterial small subunit ribosomal RNA", at positions 28 to 507 of the family's 1533-position model. The record is from RNAcentral.
GACGAACGCUGGCGGCGUGCUUAACACAUGCAAGUCGAACGGAAAGGCCCUGCUCUUGUGGGGUGCUCGAGUGGCGAACGGGUGUGUAACACGUGAGUAACCUGCCCUUGACAUUGGGAUAAAAUCAGGAAACAGGGGCUAUUACACGGUAGGAGCUCCUGCUGCACGGGGGGGGUUGGAAAGUUUCGGCGGUUGGGGAUGGACUCGCGGCUUAUCAGCUUGAUGGGGGGGUAGUGGCUUACCAGGGCUACGACGGGUAGCCGGCCUGAGAGCGUGACCGGCCACAUUGGGACUGAGAUACGCCCCAGACUCCUACGGGAGGCAGCAGUGGGGAAUAUUGCACAAUGGGCGGAAGCCUGUUGCAGCAACGCCGCGUGCGGGAUGACGGCCUUCGGGUUGUGAACCUCUUUCGCCUGUGACGAAGCGUGAGUGACGGUAACUGGUAAAGAAGCACCGGCUAACUACGUG